CAAUUAAAUAUAUGGAGAAUGCUGCAUCCCCUGUCUCUUUAGGAGCUAUCUAGUGUACCUUGAGAAAUCACAGAUUCUAAAGAGCUUUGUGGGGAAGAAGUUGGUCGAACUUUGUUUAACCUUGUGAUUCUCAAACUCAUUUGCUCACAAAUCCUUCCCAGUAAUAUGCAUCACUCAUCACCAAAGCUUUUUGGCUCACAUAGGGCUUGGAUGUGAUACACUGCCAGUGUUCACGGACUGAGGAAGACCAUGUGGGCAAGCAGCUGGGGACAGGGCAAGCUUGGUGGAGGAGGAACAGUUUGUGUAGAUGCCACUUUUCUUAGCAUCCAGCGAGCUGGCUCAACAAAAGUAUUGAGCAGUAUUCCUUCAAGUCAGAAAGGUACCAAAUUGAGUCAGUUUUUCAUCAGUGUGACCUUUGGCAAGUCCUUCAGUCUCUUUCAGUUCAGUUUUCUCAUCAGCGAAUGCAGAUCGAUCGUGACACUUAACCACAUAGGUUUAUGGGGAAAGUUACAAAUGAUACAUGUAAAGUACCUGGCACAUAAUAGCAGCUUAGGAAAAAGUAUCCAAUGUUGGGAUUAUUAUUAUCAGAAUUAUUUAGAUCUUUCUUAAGUCUUUUGUGAGAACCAAUAACGAACAUAUUUACUAACUAAAUGAGUGUAGAAGUGGCUUACUCAAGGUUACAUAGCUUAUUAAUAGUAGAGCUGGGACUACAUUUUUCUUCUCUUAGGUCUUGGCUCAGUGUCAUUUUCAUUACACUGGACCAAGGGUCCUUUUGUCUAUUUCAUGAUUAAAGGGACUCAGCACAAGUACUUUCAGUGUGCUGAAUGGACCAUUUUGUCUUGGCCUUGGAGAGAGGCAUGUGACAUGAUUCAGAAGCCACAGGGUGCCACAGGGAUUAUUGUGUCAGUUGUGUUCUGCAUCUGUGUUAAUAACCUAGAAAAGGUUGUAAAGAAUAUGCUAAUUAAAUCUGUAUAUUGCUCUAAAUGGAGAGGUAUUACAAACCCCACCAAUGACAGAGACGUGACAUAAAGGGACCUGGAGCUGUCAGGCAUAUGGACAGGAAAUCACUAGAUGAGAUUCAGCUGCAGUAAAUGCUUCCUAAUACAGCUGGGGACAAAUAAUGUGAAAUACAGAUAUUCAAUGGGAGGAAGAUAUUUGGAAAGCAGUAAAUGCUGAAGGGGACCUAGGGGAUAGUGGACAGCAAAUUAGAUAUGGGUUUUCAUUGUGUUAGGCCAACAGAAAUUGGUAAUGCAAUCUUGCACUUGUUUUCCAGCAGUCCCCUGAAGCAGCUGGGAGGAAAAGCUUCUUUCCCCAGCCAAGAUCAAGCGUGCUUGGCCUGCACACUCCUGCAGAAGGCUUGGCUGGGGCUGGGAUGGAGGCAGAGGUCACUUUACUGCCCCAUGACCCUUACCCUGUAGGCAUGAUGAUAUCUUCCAUUCCCUAAGCCCCGCCUCCACCCCGUGUCCCUGGAGAGUGGCUGUGUGUUUCUGUGGAGCAAUGCUGUGAGGUGCUGUUUGGGGACAGGAGGACAGUCCUGCAUGGAAAUCCCUCCACUGUGCUGGGGGAAGUUUGGCUCCGGCUGCUCAUUUCCAGCCCCCUGGCUCACUCCACAGGAAAGGCCCAGUUCCUCCUGAAUUCAGAGCACUCCACUGCAGGGGGUGCUGCCCAGUGGGGUAAGUUUACCUGGAGCCCCCUCCAAGCCUUUGGAAAGGAGUCUUGCUCUUGCUACCCUCCAUUUCUACUUCUCCCUCCCUGGGAGCGCCUCAUCUUUCAGACAGUUCUUCAGGGCCUUCUUGGGAGUGGAUGUGACAGUGGGGCUAGUAAAAGUCAGAAGAUACUUGCAAAGCUGGAGAAUUUCUUUGCUCGUCUCUUCAACCAGCUUUGGCUUCAUCCACUCAGACUGCCUCUUCAUACCCAUGUUGGAGCUUGUGUGCAGGGUAAUUUAGUUUAGACCUGCCAUUGUCACUCAACACUCAUAAAUAAUUGAUCGUUAAAGUUACUCCUUGAAUGUGUUUAAGUAUUUGAGUCCCUUCUCCAUGGUUCCCACGUGGAUAAGUACUUGUGUGCUUGUGGCAGGAGAGGGUGGCUCUCCUGUCAUGGAAGGCCCUGAAUGGGAAGGCGUCACUGUGGAAGAACUUGAGCUCUCAGCCCUGGUAGGUCAUGGAUAUAAAUGGAUGGCAGCUGCCUGCACGGUGAUUUAUGAGAGACGUUCCCAGCCAAAGGAAGCCAGGCACAUUCUGGAACUGCAGACCGCUGUGUACAGACCAUCUUAGUAUAUUUAGCAAAUGAGAUUGCAAACCACAAGGAAAAAAAA
This is a non-coding RNA of Heterocephalus glaber (naked mole-rat), 2314 nucleotides long. Lineage: Eukaryota; Metazoa; Chordata; Mammalia; Rodentia; Bathyergidae. The record is from RefSeq and is a predicted model, not a curated record.